This is a long non-coding RNA of Anolis carolinensis (green anole), 446 nucleotides long. RefSeq lists it as uncharacterized. The record is from RefSeq and is a predicted model, not a curated record. Lineage: Eukaryota; Metazoa; Chordata; Lepidosauria; Squamata; Anolidae. The transcript is spliced from 3 exons.
GGAAGAGGAGACAGAAGAUCAAGCCAGUCUCUGAGUGCUGUGCUGGGCUUUUUGAGUCGCAAUGAGGAAGACGGCCCUUGUCCUUUGCCUCCUCUGCCUUCUCUCCUUGCUGCUUUCUCCAGGAGCCACAGACGAUUGCGAACUUUGCAAUGAAGAAGCUCCCCCAGAACCAUGCUAUAUAAGAAACUGCCCCCGAGGAGGAAAGAGAUCAAUCAAGAAUGAUGGUGAAGCUCAGUUACAUAAGUCGUAUAUACCCACAAAGAGGAGGAUCCGGGAGUAGCUCUCAUUUCCAUCUCCUGCCCACAAGUUCCAUCUCACAAAUGGAACCUGCCAUUUAUUCAAGAAGGACACUUUCAAGCAAUAUAUAAGCAACCUCUAAAGAACGUGAAAUGUUUACCUACUGUUUCCUUAUUAUUGUGAUUAAAAGUUUCAGCUUUUGAUGGCAA